Molecule: ribosomal RNA, 433 nt
Filed under: uncultured bacterium
Lineage: Bacteria
Description: partial 16S ribosomal RNA
Rfam family: Bacterial small subunit ribosomal RNA
Source: RNAcentral
AACGAACGCUGGCGGCAGGCCUAACACAUGCAAGUCGAGCGAGGACUUCGGUCCUAGCGGCGGACGGGUGAGUAACGCGUGGGAACGUGCCCUUUGCUUCGGAAUAGCCCUGGGAAACUGGGAGUAAUACCGGAUGAGCCCUUUGGGGGAAAGAUUUAUCGGCGAAGGAUCGGCCCGCGUUGGAUUAGGUAGUUGGUGGGGUAAUGGCCUACCAAGCCGACGAUCCAUAGCUGGUUUGAGAGGAUGAUCAGCCACACUGGGACUGAGACACGGCCCAGACUCCUACGGGAGGCAGCAGUGGGGAAUCUUAGACAAUGGGGGAAACCCUGAUCUAGCCAUGCCGCGUGAGCGAUGAAGGCCUUAGGGUUGUAAAGCGCCUUCAGCUGGGAAGAUAAUGACGGUACCAGCAGAAGAAGCCCCGGCUAACUCCGUG